CAAGGAAAAUUCUCUACUACCGCAUGGAAGAUCGGGACGAGAUUUCGAUGCGGGAUUUCCUUCAUCACCGGUCAUGAUAAAUCGCCAGUGGAACGCAGGACUCAACAAACGAUAUUCAUUGCCGGCGAAAGAGCUCAACCGAGCGUGGAUGAAUAUCAAUGAGACACGGAGUGUCAAAUAACGAUUAUUAACAAGGCAAAAAAAGAGAAGAAGGAAGAAAAACGAGAAGAUAGCACGAGAGGAGGGGGAGAGAGGAGCGAAAGCCGCGUGGAAGUGCAAGAAGAAACGUAGUGCGGUAACUCAAACCAGUGUGUGUACCACCCCCUGGCCCGGGGGGUGGCACAGAAACGCCGUCAGCGUGGGUGCCGGUGCCGCAGGGGCGCGCCUGGCCCGUCGGCUCGCCCGCAGAUUAGCACGCCGAUUAGCGGCUACCUCGGGCCCCUUUCGGCGUACCGGCCUGGCGACCUCGGGGGGCCUCACGUCGGCGGCGGUGGCCGUGGCGAUUCAGCAGGGGGAGCCGCAUGCUCCCCCGGCUGCUGCGUCACGCCGCGCCACGCCGAACGGAAGCGCCAGCGGCUCGGGUUGUACCACGACUACGACCGUCACCACGAGUCGUAGCAAGAACAAAACCAUGUCCGUGAGAAGCCUACACCGACGUGUCUCUCACCCGAAUUGGACUAUUGUCGGGACUGCCGGGCGAUCACCAUCGCAGAUCUGUGAACAAUAGGUUGCCACGGAAUUGAAAAUCGACAUGCUGCGAAACACGAAAAGCGCCCAUCGCAGAAGCUCGAAACGUCCUGGCCGUUUUCCUUUAUCUCUCACACGCGAUAUUAAUCGACUGAAACCGAUGCUUCCUGACAUCUUUCGACGUGGGAUCAUAAAUAUUAUAAAAUCGUGGAAUUGAGAACUGUUAAUAUGUCAAUUAUCGUCAGA
Dinoponera quadriceps is the source of this 933-nucleotide long non-coding RNA. RefSeq lists it as uncharacterized. The transcript is spliced from 5 exons. The record is from RefSeq and is a predicted model, not a curated record. Lineage: Eukaryota; Metazoa; Arthropoda; Insecta; Hymenoptera; Formicidae.